AUGCUGAUGCAGCUUCUGAGUCUGAGGAGGAGGAGUAUAUUCCUGAUGUCGAGGAGGAGGAGGGUGAGGAGGAGGAGGCCGAGGAGGAGGAGUCCGAGGAGGAGGAGGAGGGUGGAGGGGAGGUUGACCCCGAGUUGUGGGGUGACUUGCCACCGGGUGCUCCGUAGGGGUGGCUGCGUGGUAAUGCCGGAGUACCUACACCACCUUCUAUCGAGGUGCACAAGUGGCUCAUUGAACCUGCGGGGACAGAUAACUGGAUCCUUCACGGAAAGGGCCGUAAACCGAACGACCUUCUCACUGUCCUGUUGA
This 309-nucleotide ribosomal RNA is filed under the name Triticum aestivum (bread wheat). Its description in RNAcentral is "partial small subunit ribosomal RNA". Lineage: Eukaryota; Viridiplantae; Streptophyta; Magnoliopsida; Poales; Poaceae. The record is from RNAcentral.